AAGUUAAAUUAAAUAGAUGGUAAUACACAAAUUUAGGGGUUGAAUUAUUUUAUAUUUUUCGAGUAACAGCUAAUUACCAAACUUUUACUUUUAUAUGCUAAAAAAUGAAAUUAUGACAACUGUUGACCUCAUCAUCAUGCGUUGUACCAUGCACGACUUGGUCUCCUUUCAGUUUCUCAUUUAAACAUUAGCUUGAGUUUAUUUUAUUACUAGUUAUAUGACUUACAAAAUUC
Molecule: long non-coding RNA, 233 nt
Filed under: Lathyrus oleraceus (garden pea)
Lineage: Eukaryota; Viridiplantae; Streptophyta; Magnoliopsida; Fabales; Fabaceae
Description: Pisum sativum (pea) long non-coding RNA (PSAT_LNC013853)
Source: RNAcentral